RNAcentral lists this transfer RNA (73 nucleotides) under Candidatus Kerfeldbacteria bacterium CG_4_9_14_3_um_filter_45_8. RNAcentral's name for it is "tRNA-Pro". It matches the Rfam family "tRNA". Rfam says of the family: Transfer RNA (tRNA) molecules are approximately 80 nucleotides in length. The record is from RNAcentral. Lineage: Bacteria; Candidatus Kerfeldiibacteriota. RNAcentral also lists the same sequence under 1 other name.
CGGGGCGUGGCCUAGUUGGUAAGGCGCAUGGUUUGGGACCAUGAGAUCCUGAGUUCGAGUCUCAGCGCCCCGA